Molecule: long non-coding RNA, 1193 nt
Organism: Homalodisca vitripennis (glassy-winged sharpshooter)
Lineage: Eukaryota; Metazoa; Arthropoda; Insecta; Hemiptera; Cicadellidae
Exons: 2
Source: RefSeq, a predicted model, not a curated record
GAGAAAGAACUUAAGGAGUAUUCAGCUUUAAAAACUUCCAAGAUUGGAGAAGAACUGGAUGAUGAUGACGUAGAUGAGGAGCUAUCGAGUGAUGAGGAGGAGAACAGUUCCAGCACUGCCAGUGAUUCAGCAGGAGAUAGUGAUAGUGGUGUCAGUGAAGAAGAUGAAGACUAAAUAUUAAAGAAAACAUACAAUUGUACAAAUUUAUUUAGAUUUAAAAUUGUUAGUAUUUUUGUAAGUUUAAAAAGCUGUAUAUUUGUAAUUUAUUUUUGUAAUAAAAUUAGUAUAGUCAAUUCUAGUGAUUUUUUUUUUAAUUUUGCAAUUUAACUGGAUUUUUUAUAUGUUAAACACACUGAUCUAUCCUUGUGACUAUCAGUAUGAUUUUAUCAAUGACAGAACUUAUAUAACUGGAAAUUAUUUACAGAUGUCGGAAUAUAAGUUUAUUAAAUCAUAAAUCGAGUCAAGUAACUAUCAAACUCUCCUCUCCGCUCAAUGAACUCUAUUGUGUUUUAAUGACAAAGUAUGAAUUAGUAGAGUACAAUAUUCAUACUUUAACCACUUUAUUACAUGCUGAAAUACUAGAUUUCAUGUUUUUAUCAUGAGAAAUAAAGGAAAUGUGAGAGUUUGUUAGUAUAUCCAUGCAGUGAGAGUGAGAGCAUUGUCUCAACAAUGAAGCAAACUUGAUUUUAAAACAAGUUGGAUUGAGUGUGCAAAGUUUCAAUCCAAGUGAGCUUUGAUAAAACCCACUCUAAUAAUCUCAAGUAUCAAAUUAAUUAAAGGUAUUGACGUACAAUAUUUUGUUUGUGUUUUACUGUCAUUGUGUAGGCAGAUUAAAGUAUACUCAUACAAAGUAAAAGAGGGUUUAUAAAUUGUAUGAUUUAAACUUUAUAGCUUUCUAUUGUAAAAAAUGUACCAACCAAACCUGUUGGCUCAAUAUUAAAUAUGUAAGGAAUUGUUUGGAUUUCAUUGUAUUCCAAGUCCUUUAAAAGAAUAUUUUAAAUGAGAAAGAAAGAUAAUUAGUUGAACAACAUCCAGCAAUUAUAACGAUAUAAUGAAACCCCUCUUCUCCAGGACAGAGAAGCCAAGGAAUAAAAGCACCCAAAACUUAAUUUGAUUAAAUUUAGUGUAAAGUUAAAUUAAAUAAUUAAUGUUAAGAAUUCUGUUAGAAUCAUUAAAUAUUGUUUAUAUUACAA